AGGGGUAUAGCUCAGUUGGUAGAGCAGCGGUCUCCAAAACCGCGUGCCGAGGGUUCAAAUCCUUCUGCCCCUGCCA
RNAcentral lists this transfer RNA (76 nucleotides) under Ruminococcus callidus. RNAcentral describes it as "tRNA-Trp". It matches the Rfam family "tRNA". Rfam says of the family: Transfer RNA (tRNA) molecules are approximately 80 nucleotides in length. Their secondary structure includes four short double-helical elements and three loops (D, anti-codon, and T loops). The record is from RNAcentral. Lineage: Bacteria; Bacillati; Bacillota; Clostridia; Eubacteriales; Oscillospiraceae. RNAcentral also lists the same sequence under 27 other names.